Long non-coding RNA from Octopus sinensis (East Asian common octopus), 208 nucleotides. RefSeq lists it as uncharacterized. Lineage: Eukaryota; Metazoa; Mollusca; Cephalopoda; Octopoda; Octopodidae. The transcript is spliced from 3 exons. The record is from RefSeq and is a predicted model, not a curated record.
AUACUGAUUUUCGUAAGUAUUCUACCUUCACAUUUGCACUGAUCUUUUUCAGUCAUGUUGGUAAUUGAGUGCUAAUACUUCCAAGUGCACAAAUUACUAUUGGUAUCCCGUCUACUCUCUUCUUUGACUACAAUCAUCGUAUUUCCCAUUUCAAAUCGUCAUAGUUGUUUAUUUUUAUCUUCUUUCACAUUGAUCUUGUUGACACCGG